This 22-nucleotide non-coding RNA is filed under the name Arabidopsis thaliana (thale cress). Lineage: Eukaryota; Viridiplantae; Streptophyta; Magnoliopsida; Brassicales; Brassicaceae. The record is from RNAcentral.
GAUUACGGUGGCGGCCUAAGCC